Molecule: long non-coding RNA, 527 nt
Organism: Cydia fagiglandana
Lineage: Eukaryota; Metazoa; Arthropoda; Insecta; Lepidoptera; Tortricidae
Exons: 3
Source: RefSeq, a predicted model, not a curated record
ACGCAUAGUAAGUGAAGAAAAAUGGGGUUUUCCUCGUAUGACGUAGUGUACUUUCACUUCACGCACUAGAUUGAUAGUAAUAAUAACCAAUAGUAUAAACAAAGUGAUGUUUGUAAUUUACUUCUGGAAAAAGCUAAUGAUUUGUAAGAUUAUUAGUUAUUUCCACACGACAGACUGAGUAAAGUUGUGGUAAUGUGUUGAUUUUAUUUAUACCGCAGUAGUUGCAAACAAGACGUUCGGCCGAUGGUAAGCGGGCACCGGAACCUAUGAGCGUUUCCCGACUUUUUGUCUAACCCUUUGAACGUAAAUAUAGGUACUUUAUAGGCGUCGCGAGUUGGGAAUUUAUCUCGAAUAAUGCUUAUAUUAUUAGAGUUAUAAGUGAGCAAUAUCGUACGCUGUAAAAGCAGUGGCGUAACCUUCAAGUAAGGUUUAUAUUUGCUAACCUUGUAUCAAUGAUGAUGGCGAGAUUGGCGAGUGCGUGACAUUUUUGGAUAUGAAAAAACCGGGCAAGUGCGAGUCGGACUCGC